GAUGAACGCUGGCGGCGUGCCUAAUACAUGCAAGUCGAGCGAACAGAUGAGGAGCUUGCUCCUCUGACGUUAGCGGCGGACGGGUGAGUAACACGUGGAUAACCUACCUAUAAGACUGGGAUAACUUCGGGAAACCGGAGCUAAUACCGGAUAAUAUAUUGAACCGCAUGGUUCAAUAGUGAAAGACGGUUUUGCUGUCACUUAUAGAUGGAUCCGCGCCGCAUUAGCUAGUUGGUAAGGUAACGGCUUACCAAGGCAACGAUGCGUAGCCGACCAGAGAGGGUGAUCGGCCACACUGGAACUGAGACACGGUCCAGACUCCUACGGGAGGCAGCAGUAGGGAAUCUUCCGCAAUGGGCGAAAGCCUGACGGAGCAACGCCGCGUGAGUGAUGAAGGUCUUCGGAUCGUAAAACUCUGUUAUUAGGGAAGAACAAAUGUGUAAGUAACUAUGCACGUCUUGACGGUACCUAAUCAGAAAGCCACGGCUAACUACGUG
This 497-nucleotide ribosomal RNA is filed under the name uncultured bacterium. RNAcentral describes it as "partial 16S ribosomal RNA". It matches the Rfam family "Bacterial small subunit ribosomal RNA", at positions 28 to 507 of the family's 1533-position model. The record is from RNAcentral.